AAGUCGAACGAUCCCUUCGGGGAGAGUGGCAGACGGGUGAGUAACGCGUGGGAACCUGUCCUGGAGUACGGAACAACAUGGGGAAACCCGUGCUAAUACCGUAUACGUCCUAAGGGAGAAAGAUUUAUCGCUCCAGGGUGGGCCCGCGUUGGAUUAGCUAGUUGGUGGGGUAAAGGCCUACCAAGGCGACGAUCCAUAGCUGUUCUGAGAGGAAGACCAGCCACACUGGGACUGAGACACGGCCCAGACUCCUACGGGAGGCAGCAGUGGGGAAUCUUGGACAAUGGGCGCAAGCCUGAUCCAGCCAUGCCGCGUGAGUGAUGAAGGCCCUAGGGUUGUAAAGCUCUUUCAGUGGUGAAGAUAAUGACAUUAGCCACAGAAGAAGCCCCGGCUAACUUCGUGCCAGCAGCCGCGGUAAUACGAAGGGGGCUAGCGUUGUUCGGAAUUACUGGGCGUAAAGCGCGCGUAGGCGGGCCGCUAAGUCAGGGGUGAAAGCCCGGAGCUCAACUCCGGAAUUGCCUUUGAUACUGGCGGCCUUGAGACCGGGAGAGGAGAGUGGAAUUCCCAGUGUAGAGGUGAAAUUCGUAGAUAUUGGGAAGAACACCCGUGGCGAAGGCGGCUCUCUGGCCCGGUUCUGACGCUCAGGUGCGACAGCGUGGGG
This 661-nucleotide ribosomal RNA is filed under the name uncultured bacterium. RNAcentral describes it as "bacterial SSU rRNA". It matches the Rfam family "Bacterial small subunit ribosomal RNA", at positions 59 to 766 of the family's 1533-position model. The record is from RNAcentral.